AGUGAUUGUAAUAAUGGCUCCAAAAACACUUUUUUUGGUUGGAUUCAUCUGCAUUGUUCUUUCCUGCGUCACAGCCCAAUCUCCCACCUCUUCCCCUGCCCCUCCCACUCCAACUACUCCAACCCCCACCACCACCCCUGCUCCUCCCACUCCUCAAGCUUCACCUCCACCCGUUCAAUCUUCUCCUCCACCGCUUCAAUCCUCUCCUCCACCGCUUCAAUCUUCUCCUCCACCAGCCCAAUCACCACCACCGGUACAAUCACCACCACCAGUGAGCUCCCCCCCACCGGCACAAUCGCCACCACCAGUGAGCUCCCCACCACCGGUACAAUCACCACCACCAGUGAGCUCUCCACCACCCGCAACACCUCCACCAGCCCAAUCUCCACCUCCAGCAACUCCUCCUCCGGCUACACCACCACCAGCAGUCCCUCCACCAGCACUCACACCAACACCUCUGUCAUCUCCUCCAGCUACGUCUCCAGCUCCGGCGCCAGAGAAGGUGAAGAGUAAGGCACCAGCACUAGCACCAGGGCCUAUCUCUCCCGCAUCUGAAGCUCCCGGUCCUAACUUGGCCCCUGUCGCUCCUGCUGGUGAUGAUGUAAGUUCCCACUAUAGUAAUGUUAUCUAAAUUGUGGUUAUAGUAGUGCCUGAUAUUUUUAUAUAAUUAUAAAAAUAUUUUUGCCCAAAUAUGAUUUAAUUAUAUGAUGGUAUGACCUAGUCAUGUCACACUACACGAAUCAAUUCCGGUGUGGCGAUAUUACAUUAUUGCAUCCAGAUCAGAUGAUAUGAUCCAAAUUUAAAAUAGCUAGUUUAAAUAAUGUUGGAUUAAAAAUAUAUUUUAACCUUUCUGUAAAUAGUUAUAUGUUUAAGAUAGAUAUAGUUUUCAUUUGAAAUGUUAUUAGCUAAAACCUUAUGCGCGGUUUAAUGAAAAUGGCGUAAGAAAUAAUAUGGAAAUUAUUUCUAUUUUGGGAAAGUUAAUCAUGUGAAGAGAUUUCUCUGAACAUUUUAACUCUUUCAGACACCAAUGGAACUGAUUCUCAUUCACCUUAUUUCUUAUGAGCACCAUGCCAUAACUCAUGAAUGAUGCCUCGAGCGAACUCCUUUUAUGCCUAAAUUGCAGUUAUUCCAUCACCCAUUCUCAUAAUUCCCACAUUUUUUAUCUAUAUAUUUGUUUACGUAUUUUUGGUCUAACUUAAAGGAAAUUGUAUGGUAGCAUUGUUACUUCUUAGUAUGCCAUGUUAUGAAUUGCAAUUCUGAUUUUUGAUCUUUGUGAUGGAUGAGAUAGGCUUUGUAACCAUUGUUAUAGACAUGUUGGUGUUUAAAAAAUAAAACUUGUUUAACAACUGAGCUUCUGAAUUAUUAAUCUACACUGUAACAUUGCAGAGUGGGGUAGAUAAGUUGAUGGUUGGGAGCUUUGCAUUCGGAUGUGCCCUUCUGUCACUAAUCCUCUAGAGAUCGAUCUCUAAUCUCUUUCUUCUCUCUUUGGAUCUAAGAUUUUCCUUCUGAUUGCUGCUAUUUACCAUUUGCCACUACAUAUAUUAUUUUCUAGCUAUGAUAUCAGACUUUAUUAUUUGUAUUUGGUCUAUAUAAAUUCGCUUGUAUUCUUUGGGAGAUUUGAUGGGAGACUUUGUAUUUGACGGAACUUAUUUUGUAUGCCAGUAUUAUAUGUAUCCUUCUAUUUGAUUAUUUCUUCUUCCUUUUCAUUUUCUGCUUAAUCUUUUUAUUAUAGUAGUGCUGCUCACAGUCACGGAUCGCUAUGUUUCAUGAGUUUCGGUAAUAGGUUUGGUUUGGAAACUCAAUCAUUGAAGUUUCAUAAUGCAUUGUUAUCCUUAUUCAUUGCUCUUUCAGCAUUGUAAUGCAUGGCGAUUAUCUUUUUCUUUUCCCUUUUUGGGUGUAUUAGUAGCUACAUAACUUGCUCCAAUCAUCAAUAAACCCACCAGGCCACCACUAUUAACUGAAGUUUUUUGUUGAUAAUAUUGCUGUUAAUAUAAUCUUCACAGCAACGAGAGCCUUUUUAAAACAUUACAUAUGAAAUUUCAGAACACCAACUUUUCUGAUAAGUUUCAAGACUUAACUUUUCAAUAGUGAGGACAUCUGAACCAAUACAAAUAGGCACAAAACAACACAUGUUUGAUCACUUUUGAUUAACAAAAUGAAAGACUCAACAAGUACACCAAGUGCAAAUAAUGAGAAAAGAUUAUUGUAUUGAAAACAAGAAGUGAAAUGGUUACAGGUGAUGGAUUAAACAAUACCAUGACUGUUACAAUGAGGAAAUGAAAGUAAAUAGAAGAUACUAUUGAGAAAGAAGCAGAGAAUGUUUCCAAUAUUCAUCACGUAAUUAUUCAUCCUUCUAUUUCUCUUUUUUGUCCUUUUACUAAACCUCCCAAUUCUCUGAUCUUCUGCCAAGUGUCCUAUUGGAAUAACUAAUUCAUUUUCUCUCUCCGCCUAAAACUAUUUAUUGGUAAGCUUUUACUCCAAGUGUUACACAAACACAUUAAAAAAAAAAUCAUCUUUUUUAUCUGUCAUGUUCUCCCUCCCUGCAUAAGUAGCGUCAUUGAGAAUUUGAGAUGAAAUGAAAAGCAUGAAUUAAUCUCUUUCAAUGGCUUCAAUUUAUCUCCUCUGUGGCUAUGCAAUGGAAAAGCUUGAAUCGUACUUCUUAGCUCCCACACAGGUAUACAUGUUUGCCAAUGACAAUCAUAAAUAUCAGAGUAGGCAACCAAUUAUUCUCUAUCGCCUUAGUUUUUUGGAUUACAGAGUUUCAUAAGGACUGCACUCUAUAGUACUACAACCUUGGAAUGCAACUCCUCUAGGCGGUCAUGAAUUAACUGCGCACCGUGUUAAGACCAUGCCUGCGGUGUUACAAUUGCAACAACUAUAAUUAGUAGCAGUAUUCAGUAGACGGACCAAUAAUUCCCAGCAUCAGAACAAGGAUUCACAUAAAGGUUGAAUGAAUGAGCAAGAGUGAAAGGAGUCACAAGGUGGUGUGAUGGUGAAGAAUGGGGACUUAGGAAGGGAGUGGAGGAGGUUGUGAGUUUAAGUCUCACCGUCAACAAAAAAAAAAAUGAAAGUUAUAAGGUAGUUUGAUGUUUAGGAUAAACGAAGGGAUGGCAACAAGCGCAGGCGGGCGUGAGCAGUGCUUUAUCGUGCUCAAACCCACAAUAUUUAUGGGUACUCGUGCUGGUAGCGGGUAUUUGCAGUACCCGACAAAUUUUUAAUUUUAAUCAUAUAUUUAUAUAAUUUAUAAUAAAUAAUAUGUAAAAAUAAUUGUUACAUGAAUAUUAUGAUGUUUAUAUAAUAAAUUUAUGAUUAUUGUAUAAUAUGUGUAAUUUAUUAUGAAAUAAUAAUAAAGUAUAUUAUAUAUAAUCUUAAAAUAAUAAAUAAAUAUAUAUAAAAAUUUAACUAAAAACUAAAUAUAUAAAUUUGCGGGCUCAUAAGCUAUUAUUGCGGGUAGUCAUUGCAGAUAUUUUUACGGGUACUCUCGAUCGGGUUCUUUUAUCAUCCCUAAGAAUAUUGAUGGUAGAAUCUCACUCACAACAAAAUACUAACAACUAACAUAAUAACAAUUGGCUAUAAAAAAAAAGAAUGAGGAAGAGUAAAGAACGAUAUAAUACCAUAUAAAUAAUUUCUCACUAUUAAUUGCAUAGAAGAUAAUUAAACUGGAUGAAGCCCAACGUGAAGAGGAUCCGAAUUCAUGUUCAUCUGUCCAGAUUGGGCUUGGAUUUGAACAGAUUUGAUACUUGUUUCAGAUUUUGGACGGGCUAUUUUUUAAAGGGACUUUAGAAUUUAGAUUUAUCCAACAAAUGUUUGAACCUAUUUUAUUUUACUUUUCAAAAUCUAAAACCACAUAUUUUUUUAUAUUAGCAAGGGUUAUCCUUAUGACCAUUCUUUGGUUAAGAAACUAUUAUCUUUUAGAAUGACUAUUUCUUACAACAAGUCUUACUCCCGAUAAUUAAACCCUUAAAUCCAAAAUCACAUAUGAUAAUAAAUAGAAGAUUUCAUGUCAAACCAUUAUUUGAAUACAUUAAAUAUAAACAAAAUGGCCUUGUCAAACAUGCAAAUAAUACAAUCGAAUGCAAAAACUAUUAAAAAUAAUAAUUAAUGAUUUCAUUAUUUUGUGAAAACAAGCUAAUAUACUAGACUUAUAAAAAAUGGUUAGGGUAUUCACAUAGGUUAAUUAUUCAAUCGACUUCUCUUGGGUAAUAUUCAUAACUAUCAUUUGUUAUAUACAAAUGAAAGUAGAAAUCAUUUUUGUUUUUCGUUGGCAAAUAACUUUAUUAAGUUAAAAGGAUACUAAUGGCACAAAGAAUUACAAACGAAAAUUCAUUGACGAGACACCUAGGCAAUUCUAAUAACAAUAUGAAUAUGCAUCAAUUGCAGGUGUAUAAUAAAUUUGUAUGCAUCUCGUGCAGGGUAAGAAGGGGAAGCUUUCCAUUAGAAUAAAGUGAUAAUAAUACUUAGAGUUUCACAUUUCGUCAUUUGUCCCGAACAUGCAUCUCUUUGAUAUACUCACCAUGUCAACCAAAUAAAGAACAACUCCUAAAACCCUCCUAUUUUUCAGGAUUAUUAUGCUAUGUCUGUCAGAGAUACUAUGGUCACUAAAUCAAUGCAAUUGCCGUUGACCAGGGUAAUCUACAUUUAUGUUGUUGGCCUUCUAAAUUAUUGCUACUUUUUGACUGGGACCUAAUUAAAUUGAUAUGCUGUACAGUGUACUUUUCUUUAUUGUUUAUAGAUUUUGAACAAUUGGGCUCAAGUGCUCAAAAAAUCGUUUGAAGGAAGGGAAGACCUUUUGGGAUUUGCUAGGAAGGAUAUACCUAUAUAAUAUUAAAUUAGAAGUGAAUGAAAGUUUCAAAAUGAAAGAUAUUGAAAAGGAAAAUUUGACAUUCAGGAUUCUCGAACAUUAUUUCUAAAAAUAAACUGGCAAACAGACAUUAAACAUGUAAAUCAAACUUUUUCAUGUAAUGGAAUAUAAUCUACAAUUUGUUUUUGAAUUUUGCUGCUGUACCUAUAAAUAUUAAGUUUUGGAUCUUUAUGAAAAUCAAUAAAAAAAAAGUUCCUUUCAAAAACAUCACACAUCUUGCUAAACAAUUAAAGGUUCAUUUAGGUAAAAAAAAAUUAAAGAGGGAAACUUUUAAAAUAUGAGGUAGACUGUAAGAGCCUUUACAAUUUAUUUGCACAAUAAUCCUAAUUAUUCUGAUAAUAUAUGUAUUAGCAGGUGAACAUCAUGAAGCUCAGAACUCUGCCCUUAACCCAUGCUCCCAGUUCUGAGCAUUAUUGGAGAGCCCUAGCUAUCUGCAACAUUGCAACUUUAGUGCUAUUUUAAUGGUUUUCCUUUCACACCAGUCAGCACGUGUUAUUAUUUUUCUAUACUUUUCGUGGUAAUUUUUUACCCACGAAUGCUGAAUGAUUAUGGCAUAGGGAUAUUAAUGAAGAACUUGUGUGGAGGGGACAUGGGGUCCCAUUUCCAUAUAAAUUCAGACCUGUAUGUUUAAUACUUUAUUUUUGCAUCAAUAAUAUGUUGAUUUAGUGAUAUAAGGAAUUCUUAGAUUUCCAAAAAACUAAAAUAUCAACUUUUCUAUUUAUGAAUUAACAUUUGUUUGGAGGAAUAAAAUUAUACUUCGAAAAGGAUUAGUUAUUUAUUCAUCUUAUCCGGUGCCAAAAAAAUACUUCAUUUUUGCAAUGGUGAUGAGUAUCGAUUAUAAAUCAAGAAUCCCCCUCCUGAUAACUAGCAGAAUAGACGCACUUCAACUCCCUAGACAACUAAAUCUAACCUGGAACUCAAUUUCAAAUUAGCUAAAUAGAGUUUUCAAUUCUCAAUUUCUUACAUUAUCUAAUGUAAUGUUGUAAUAAUCAUGUGCAUGUAUAUAUCGCUAUCACUCGACGUAUCUAUCAGAAUUCUUUUGUUAGUUCACUAUGCUGUGGGAUUGCUCAUCAGAAUUCUUCUUCCAAAUUUACUGUUUUAGACUUUAAGCCCUCCCUAUGAAGGUCUACCUAGGUAAUAAAUGGUAGGGUUAUUAAAAUCGUACUGAUUAAACCAAUCAAAAUAUUGGUAUAGUUGUACAAUCGUUCAACUGGUGGUUCGGUAAUUAAUUUGUAUGUUAGUUAAAUCGGACAUACCUGCUUAUAUUUAUAUAUAUAAACAUAUAACAAAAAAAGUUCAAAUAGGUAGAUACUCAAAUUUAUAAUUCAUAUUCAUAAUCUACUCAAAUUCACAUAAGCAAACAACUUUAAGUCUUUAACAAAUUCAAAGUCUAAAUGAUAAAACAAAUAACAAUCCAAAAAUAUCACUUAACAAACGCAAAAUAUAAAUAAAUGACACAAGUUCAUAACUCAUAAUUCAAAACAAAUAAAUUUGGAGUUUUAACAUUUAACAUCAAUGAGUCAAAGUUGUGUCAUAUCAAGGUUCCAUAUUUGCAUCAAAUCCUACCUUCAAACUGUUUACUUCAAUAUUACACAAAUGUCACUGAGAUUACACAUUAAUGUUAGGGACCAAUAUGUGUAAUCUACGUAUGCCUUAGAAGCAUGUGCCUUGAAGUGUUGAAGAAGGGUUUGAAAGAUGAGUCACCGUGUAAUGAAUUUUUAAGUUUAAAAAAAAAAGAUGUGUAUAAAUCAGUCAGUUUAAUCAAAUUUCGGCCGGUUCACCAGUUUUGACCGAUUUUCAAUCGGUUUUAAUACUUGACCGGUUCAAUAUCUGUAUCAUACUAAUUAGGGAUCCGGUUUACCAAUUAAACUGAUCGGAACGAUACGGUUUUUAUAUCAGUAAUAAAAGCUAGGUGAUUAGUUAUAAGAUUUCUCAUUGUAGCAGGCUUCAACUAGUGAAAAUUGGGAAUUUUUACAACCAACUAACUAAUUUUAGGAUUUGAAUUCACACUAUGAAAAGACAUUAAAUAAUAUUAUCAUUGCGAUCUGGCUUACCCUCAAGUUAGUUAUAAGGACCAACAUCAUAAAAUUUGGUUCUCUUGUAUCCAUGGAUGACUUAAAUAAUACAAAUACUAAAAUGGUAAAAUAGAGAGAAAAAAAGAAAAGCCAUAUGACUCGACUCAAUCCCUUUCACCCUAUUCUCAAAUAUUAUUUUAUGAAGUGUUGUUAAAACCGUAUCGAUUAUUAAACUGGAUAAAAUAUGGAUAUAGUGGUACAGUGGUUUAACCAGUAGUUUAAUAAUUAAAUCGCAUGUCGGUUAAACCAGACAUACUUGCUUAUAUAUAAACCUAUUUUAAUUCCAAAUAGGUAGAUACUCAAAUUUAUAAUCCAUAUUUAUAAUCUACUCAAAAUUCACAUAAAUAAACAACUUUAAGUCUUUAACAAAUUCAAAGUUUAAAUUACAAAACAUAUAUCAAUCCAAAAGUAGCAGUUAACAACCACAAAAUAUAAAUAAAUGACAUAAGUUCACAACUCACUCUACAAAACAAAUAAAUUUGGAGUUUUAACAUUUAACAUCAAGUAGUCAAAGUUGUCUGAUAUCGGGAUUAUAUUUUUGCACCAAAUCCUAUCUUCAGACACUACUCCAAAAUUACGCAAAUGUCACUGAGGUUACACACGAAUGUUAGGACCAAAAUGUGUAAUCUAAGUAUGUCAUGGAAACAUGUGUCUUGAAGUGUUGAAGAAUGGUUGGAAAGAUGGGUCACCUUGUAAUGAGUUUUUAAGUUUUUCUGAAAAAAAUAUAUUUAUAAACCGACCGGUUUAGUCAAAUACCGGUUAAUUUUGAUCGGUUUUGAUACUUUGUCGGUUCAACAUAUGUACCAUACUGGUUAGAGGUUCGGUUUACCAGUUUUCCGGUCGAUUUUACCGUUACGGUAUGGUUUUCACAUCUUUAUUGUUUAUGAUAAUCUUAAACCUUAGUCUAUAAUAAGACAUCAUGGAUAAGUUUUUCAAUGUUUUUUAAGUUAUGUAGCCGAAAUACAAAGCUGAGUUCGUUAACAUUUUUUUCAGUCCAAAAAAAAUAGGAUCUCUCACUCAAAUCAAUAUCUAAGAUUCAUUGACUACUAUGUUAUACACACAUAUAAUUUCAGAGGUGGAACUAAAAAUUACCUUUCUAACUAUUAGAGACUAAAAUAAAAAUUAAUUGCAUUAAAUUAUUAGAGGCUAAAAUAAAAAUUUGUUAAAAAUUGUAAAGGCUAUUAGAGUAUUGGGGUGAAAAUAAAGCGUGUCAAACUAGCUCAACCCAAUUGCCAAAUUAAAUAUUCACUAUAGUUAAAUUUCAAGUCAAGUUUAAAGGGAACUAAUUAUAACUUAAAAUUGAUUUAAUUAAAGUUUACAAAGUUUUAAAUAUGUUAGUAAUGUCAAAUUUAUAUUGAUCAUUGACUCAAAUGAUCAUUUAUAUAUAUAAUAAAGUGAGUUUAUCUCCUGUAUUUAAUAAGUUAACUCUUUUGAUUAAUAAAAAAACAUCAAUCUAAUUAACAAAUAGAAUUUCAAAUAAAUUUGAAGUUGGUAAACUUAUUUCAUUUCAAUGGUUAUAUUUGUGUUCUCUUAACUGUAUAAUCAAUUAAUUUAGCAGCAUGGGUUGGUGAUGGCCAUAAAUGUGUACACAUUUGACUGUGUCCCCACUAAGAUGUGAGAAGUCCAAUGUAAAUUUGUGAAAAUAAAAAUAUAUUCUGAAAUUAGAUAAUAUCCAGAGGUAGAAUUCCAGAUUAACUCAUUACUUUACAAAUCACAAAUCAAUACCAUUGAAAUUUUGGCCAAAAAUCUUAUCAAUAAAUUAAUAGUAUAUUCGUUAAGACAUCAAGAUCCAAUUAGUCAUCACCAAGGAAGAUAAAAAAGAAUAUAAACAAAUAUUAAAAAACAAAAUCCUUAAUCUUUUUUACUAUCCUUCAGAAUCUUCCUAAAAUAAUAUAGUACAAGUGGAUAAAGAAGAGAAAGACAAUACCUGAAAAAGUAAAAGAAAAAAAUGAACAUAGAUCAAGUGGGGAAAACGAAAGGUGAGUGAGCAUUGAGCAAGAAAGUAAAGGGAAGGUGGUUAGUUACAUCACUUGUGUUGCUUUGGAAGCAUCAAACCUCGUGGUCAUUCCAUAAUCACGUUCCCACACACACUUACACUAGCCUUCCCUAGCUAGCAUCAGAAACCCAACUCAUUUUACUUUAUUUAUUCUCAUGUCCCUCUGGCUUCCAUUCACUACAUAAAUUUAAUAGAAUAAAGUAAUAUUCUCUGUUAACUACUAUUAUUUUCUUACCUAUGCAGCUAUGUUCAUUUGACCGAGACCAUGGAAAAAAGAGAGAAGCUUCCACACAUGCAAAUAAAUUAGUAAGUAUAAAUGCCCGUUGCAGAGUUUCACAAGAUGCACCAUCUAACGAGUUUUUUUGGGUAAUGGAAAAUGCAAAGAUUGGGAUUUGAAGCCAGGCUCUUCUUUCACAUGAUAGGCAUUCACACAAUCUAUUGCUACCAAUUACAAUAUUACUGAGAAAUUCAAUAACUAAAUAUAUAUUAAUAAAUUAAGAGGAAAUUCCAGUGAGAAGCUUGGCUUCCCAAGUUUCAUAUUUCGAUAAAAUAUCAGAUAAGAAUAAUUUCGGGGAAUAUAUAUGAGAGUGUAAUUAUAACACAAACUAGACUGUAUACAUUUGAUAACUUAAAUCUACCACGAGCAUUCAUUAUCUGACAGAAGUGAAAGGAAUAAUUGGACUGUAUACAUUUGAUUUUCAAGAGCACUGACAAUAUAGCAUCAUAAUUAUAACACAAAAUGAAAUCAUAAUACAAGAGAAAUGUUUGGUACAUCAAUUAAGAGCGAGUAUUUCUAUGUAAUACCCUAUUACAUUAUCUCUUGAGUAUCAAAAACACCCUUUUUAGUCUUUCACCUUUUCAAACACAAAUGAACUACUACACCAACAAAACUGUUAGUGUCAAACUUGCUGUGGUCAAUGGCAGACUCUUUAAUAUUGCUACCACCGACACAAAACUGAGAAGCUGUGAAGUAGGCAAAAAAGUUGGAUGGUCCUACUCUACUAUACCAAAGCUUCACCUUCCUCAUUUAUGGAAGGUAAACUAAAACCUUUAACCUCCAUUUGCUCUAUUCCGGCGUGGAAAACUGAGCUCCAACUCCAUAGUUGGUUUCUGCAUCGAGUAUAAAACAUUCACUCAGGCUUUUAUAACACCUGUGAAUUUUCAUGCUCUAUGUACAGAUUGCACAGAGGCAUAAACAAACUUCAACAAAGAACCAACUAAACCCCUAUUCUAACAUUAAAACGUUAGUAAUUAGAAACUAGUCACUGCUAUUAACAAUUGCCAUGAAUUGAUCCUACCCAUAUUGCUAUAUUUCCAUCUUCCACAUCAUGCUUUCAAUGCCGAGAUUAUGCGAUUUCUCUAGUGCAAUGACUUUGGCCCGAUGAACUGCAAGUGAAUUCUUUCCUCUUUCAUCCUGGGGAAGUUCGCAAGCUUCACUGACAGAAUCUGUUCUCAAAUCAGCUGGUGGAAUGAAGCAAUCCAGUGAAAGACCUGGAACAUUGAACGCAACCUCAUCGAUUGUCCAGGCUUCUUCCAUUUUUGUUUUGGUGUGGCUCAUAGCGGUCUCUCCAAAUCUGAAGAGAGUUACCACAGAAUGCCCUGAGUGUGCAAUCAUGAUCCCCUCCACAGGCCUAUAAUCAUGGAGAUAUGAGUUGAUUGUGGUUUCCCAAUAAACUGCAUCGCCGCCAUUAGAUUGGAUGCGGGUCAGAUGAGAAUCCUCGAUGUGAACUAGAAGUCCAGUCUUCUGGCUAAAGUAGCCAAGUAAGACAUGCCUUAUGAUCUCAGCAGGUCCUUCACUUCUGGCCUUCAAGGUCUGAGGGUCAGUACAGAGCUUAAGGAUGAAGCAAUCUUCGCCGUUAAUAUUCUUCUCUCCAGUGCAUUUGGCAUCAGCAAACAUACUGGCUGUGGUUCUCGGGUCUAGACCCUAAUUAAACAAAUACACACAUUUAGAAACUGCAAAGAAAAAGGUAGAACAACAAAAAUAAAAACAAACCGCACGUCAAAUAUGCAGUGUGAAAAUUGAAAAAGAAAGUCCAACCUGAAGUGCACGCCGCAAAGGCCUCACGGGCCCCUUUGCAGUAUGAGCACCAAGCCAAGGAGUGUGCCUCCAAACAAGUUUGCCAUUGCAUCCAGCAUGAACCUUGCUUCCCCCAACUGCAAGUUCCACAUACCACAUGUCAGGAUUCAUCUGCCAGAGCACAAAUCCGCCGGAUUCUGCACACUUAGAGGCACUCCGGUUCUUCACCACCCUAGUUGCAGUUUCAAAUUCAGAAGCCACCAUUCUCACCUUUCCCAUUGCAUAUGCAUUUUUAAUUGAGUUUUGCAACCUCAGCCCUGAAGCCGCAGUGUACUGCUGCAAUAUGUAUUGGGCAGAUGAAGUUUCCUGCAAUGAUACCCAUGAACAAUAAAUCAAAAAGUGAGUGGAGCCUUAGAUGUAAUUAAAUGAUCUUGAGAAAAUUAGAGUAAAUAUCCAUUAAAGUAGCCUUUUUGCACAACUGAACAACCUUUUUAAUUACAGAACAGACAACAAUUACAUUUUACAUGAAAGAGAAAUGAAUUUUAAUUAGAUCUGAAGCCAACAAUUUAAGAACAUUGGUAUGCAUAUUAUUGAGUUACCAGACUAAAAUUAUCCCAGAACAUAUAACCAGGUAAAUUUAUCUUAGAACGCAUCCUUGUUCUUAUUUUUUCCCUCAGCGGUCACUCUUUGAACAAAAAUUUGAAUUACACACAGCUGCAUGUUAUUCAUUUCUUCAUGGUUAAUCAUUUCACCCCAAUCACAAACCCACAACAGCAUAUAAAACUAAAAUUUUAAGCCUUUAACACAAACUUAAACCGAAAUCUUCAACAGAGUCAAAACACGACAAACUGCAUAAAAACACCAUAAAAACCAAACUAUCAAGGAUUCAAAGGAAAAAGAUACUAAUUUUCCGCCAUUUCAUAAAACGACACUGAAAACAAAAUUCAAAAACACAUGCACAAAAACUAAACACGGCAAACAUUAUCUUGAGUUAAAAAAUAGAAACUUGGAAAAUGGGCAAGGAUUAAGAACAGUGAUAAAAACUCACAAUAGGAGUAUCCUUGAUACUGAGAUGAGGCAAUGGGUCAGAGGCAGAGACAUGAAGAGGAGCGAGUGGAGCAGCCAUGACUCCAAGAAGAAGCCUCAGAUCAGACCUCUUAUACGACAAUGACGACACGGACGGUGCACGUGACAACUGUCCCUUCAUCCAUUGCCCCAAACCCGACCCACUUCUCUUCGGGUCCCCAUUUUCAGUUCCGUCCGGGUCGGGUCCUUCGAUCAAUGGACUCAGAGUUUCUCCUAUUGGAGUCAGGCCUCCGGAUCUCACAACUGCAGUGACUGUGUUAGUGUUUGAAUGUUUUUUCCUUCGUAGCAAACCGGACAUGGGUGAACCGGUUCGGGUUGGAGUACUGGACCGGGAGCGAGAUGGUGAGAGACCGCGAACCACUUCUUCUUUGAGAGCGGAGAAGAAACCUUGUUUCUUUUCUUUUUCCAUUUUGGGAGAAGAAUCAGAGGAACGAAAAGAGAAAAAGAGGGUGAAAGGGAAGAGGGUGAGUGCUAAUAAUAAAAAGAGGAAAAGGAAGAGAAUUUCAUGGAUGGAUAAUAAUAUGAAGAGAAGUAGAGAGAAAGAGUGUGAAAGAAAAGAAGAAAAGGUUUUGGAGAGUGAGUGAGUGAGGAAUGGGGUUUGUAGGCGCACGGUUUUCGAAGAUGGAAAAUCGGAAACAGAGGAAGAAAGUGAGGAAAGUGUGUAUGUGCUGCUGCGAUAACAAUACUUCGCUGCUGUUUCAUUGGAACACUGAAGGGGGUGUGAGAAUAUAUUAUACUAGUAUUGUAGGGGUCAGGCUCGUCUGGGAUGUACAAUUUUUUCUUUAGUUUAGUUUGAAGGACAAAUUUAUCUUAUCAUGAUAAAUAAAUAUAAAAGUAUAAAUAUAAAAAUAUAUUAUAUUUUCUUUAGUUGUUAGUAUCAUUUACCUCUUCAUUACUUGAGAGGAGUAUCAUAGGACUACAAUGUUUUAGUGACACUAUCUAGUGUUACAUUUUAUUGUUGUAUAGUAUUACUCUUAACCUAAUUUUGUUCUUACUUUUGUAGUAUAUAAGAUGUUUUAUUUUUAUUUUUAUCUAUUUGUGUUUAAUGUAAUUAAUUAAAUUAUUUAUUAUUUUAAAUAAAAUAUUAAAAUGGGAAUAGUAUCAUUAAGUAGACCCACAAAGCUUAAUAAAGUUUCAGGUAUACUUGAAUUUCAUAAAUAUAAUUAUAUCUAGAGUUUUAUUCUUACAAUUUCACUACUGAGCACUAACGAGUAUUGAUUCAAGUGGUAAAUGUUUGAUUUUUCUUAAGUAAUGUUUUGGGUUCGAGUCUUGUCGAUGAAAAAAAUAUAUGCUGAGGGAGUUAGCCCCACAUACUUGUGGAUAUUUCCAGUUCGAAGAAGAUUGCCUCUAGUGCGAAAAUACACGUGGGAAACCAAAAAAAUCUCACUAAUGAGUUUUAUAGACAAACUCUUUAAUCCCAAUAAAUAUAUAUAUAUAUAUAUAUAUUAAUUAUUAAUUAUUAAUUUUUUAAUUUAAAUAUUCUUUUAAUUAAUCACAAAGUGAUAUAUUUUUUGAGAUUUCAAAUGUCUUUCCAAAAUUGUUGUGAGAUAGUUAUUUAUCUUUCUAUUUUUAGAAUAUGAAAUAUUAUAGGUGAUCAUUUAAAUUGUAAGUCAUCAAAAUUUUGGAAAGCUUUAGUUUGUUAGAAUAAGUAAUAAAGAUAUAUCAUAAUACCUGAAUAAUAUCUCAUCAUACAUGUAUAUUUAUAUUUUCUAACUUAAUUAUGAUUUACCAUACCAUUAUGUAUAAUUAUAAGCAUAAUUUCUAUAAUAAUGUUAAACAUAGAUGAUAAAUGACUUGAGAGAAAAAUAUCUAAAUCAUUGAUGGAAGGAGGAGUGGCUACUCACCCCAGAUUAUUUAUCUUCUUUAUGAUUUAUAUUGUAUAUCCUUUUUAUAUGUACUUGGUAAUGAUGAGUGUAUUUAACUGUGUGCAUAUUUUUUUCUCAAUUUUAAAAGAUGGAAGUGUAUUGUUGUAUAUGUCUUCUUAUCUAUUCAGGGCACUCCAUACCUAAAUUAUGGCUUCUCCAAUACCCUCAAUUCACACGACAAUGUUCAUACUCGAAUUAUCCGUUGUCGUUUGAUACCAACUUUUUGAUGACAUACUAAGAAAUACAUUAAUAUAAUACUAUCAUCCUGCAACUGGUUAUACUUAAUUGUGAUAUCUUAAGUUUAUAUCCUCGUAAAAAUUUAUCCUAUGCAUACCUAAAGAACAUAGAAAAAUAGUUUUGAAACUUUUUUUUUCCCAUCUUUAUAGUGAUGUUACCUUGAACAUAUAUAAGAUGUUCAUGAUGGGAUUCUGCUGUAUAUCUACUGGUAUCUCAUGUGGUUCCUGAUGAGAUGCACUUUUGGAUUUUAAUUGCUCAUUAGCAUCUACUCUCAAUAACAGGACAGCUUAGUUUGAUUAAAACUAAUAAUUACGAUCCCGAAAUGAGAAUGUUGCUCCAUCCUCCGAAAACAAAGAAGAAUAUAAACUCGCAUUUAACUAAUUAAUAUGUCCCAAGUGCCCAACUGACCCCAAUUAAACUAAUAUGUCCCAAGUGCCCAACUGACCCAAUUAAUAAAGAUCUAAUAUAUGUCCUAAACGUAUUUUAGAUUAUAACUUAUAAGCGUAUUAUCUAUUAUUUUUAUAUUAAUUAAUUUGACUCUUAAAUAAAAAUAGUAUAAUUGAAUAAUCAAUGACUUUGUCCAUUUAAAAAACUUCACUCUAAUAAUACAUAAUAUUAAAUUAAUUAAUUAAUACUCCAAGCCCCUAUAUAUUAUUCUAUGCCUCUGGCGAUUCAAUGAUCAUCAAACUCGGUCACAUAUCAUAAUAAAGAGGUGGGUCUCUACAAAAUUAAUGUUUUCUUAAUUUAAUAUUCUUUAGAGUUUUAUAUAUUAUUAUUGUAUUAUUUGCAAUUCAUAUUUAAUAAUCAUUGACUCUUAAAAAAUGUAUAAAUAUUUACACUUUUAUACUUAGAUAUUAUACAUUUUUUUAUAUAGAUCAACCUUAAGUAAACUUAAAUUUGAUGUAUGGUAUGUACAAUUUUUUUUAGGUAGAAUAUCAUAUGUACAAUUUGAAAUGAUGCAUAUAUGUUAAAUAUGAUGAUAUACAGAUAAGGGAACUUUAUUAUAAUUUCAACGUAAUGAAAGGGGAUGAUUACUAAUUAGUGGAUCAAUCUUAGUUUUCUGUAUGAAGUUGACAAAAUUGUUGUUCCUUAUCGACAAAGGUAUUCUCUUCCCAUCCACCUUUCCCUUCGUGUAAUCAUCUUGUGUGUAUGUAUAGUUUCUGUAGGACUGAAUGCGUUUUUUCCCUAUUUAUGGUGCCAUUGAUUUUAGUUUCCUAUAUUAUUUACUUAACUAUUUAGUCCUCGAUUUGAGUUAAUAUUGAUUUCCAUUCUCUUGGUCAACUUUCUAUAUAAAAAAAUACCACCACUAAAUGACGAACUACUUUAGAAUGAAUCGCGCUUCAAGAAUACGAAGACAUAUGGUGUGCUUAUUUUAAUCAUGUUAUUUUACAAGUUCUGUUUAUAUCUUUUAAUGUUCAAAGUUUUCAUGUUAUUUUAAAAUGUUUGAUAUUUUAGAAACUCGACAAAAAUUUAUACAUUAUUUUUCAACUAUAUCAUUGUGUAUUAAAUCAUUUUUUCAUCCAUGAUCUCUUUGUUUCAUUCUAAUUCAGUUUUGAAUGUGAAUUAAAGGAUGUUAUUUUAGUCAAAUUAUAUUGAAAUCCAACAUUAUUUAAUAAUUUUUCAAGUCAUGUACAUAAUCAUAAAUGCCAAAUAUAUGAAAUGGAGAAUUGGAGAUGGUAUUUUUUAUCUACUCCAAUUUAAAAUGGAGCAGCUAAAUACUUACACAAAAUUUGAAAACAAAAUAGUGAGACACAUCAAAAUAAACACCAUAACAUAUUUAAAUCUUUAAUGUAUUAGUGGGAUAUCAAAAAGUAAGAGAUUGAGGUAACAUAUAUUUUGUGCAUGCCCCCCUUCAAUUGUAUUUAAUGUUGCACCUGCUGCAAUAGUUUUCACUUUUAUCACAAACUUGAACCCUAAUUUGUCACUAUCAAAUAGAAAGUUAAUUAACCACAAGUGAUCCACCUUGGACAUAUGAUUAUUAAUUAUAGUUUGAUGUCUGUACACAAUUUGAUUAACUUGUUGUACUCUUUUCAAAGAUUUCUUUAACUGCUGACUUAAAAGAUAAUUUACCACAGUAUCUCAUGGCUUUGUUAACUAAUUAAGGGAUUAUUCCUAAUAGUUUUGUGACAAUAACAUCAUAUAUAGGUUUGAGACCUGAUUAUACACAGUCGCUGGGGGACAGUUAGGCUUGUACCAACCAUUGUGGGCUAUUAAUUGACUUCCGAUAACUAAACUGAGACUUUGGUGUACUGCAAUGUAUACAUAUUUAAUUUCAUUUAUACUCUGAGACUUUGCUAUUAAUUGACUAUCGAUAACUAAACUGAGACUUUGGUUAACAUAUACAUAUUUAAUUUUAUUUAUACACUAUAUCGUAAGUUAGUAAAUAGUACUAUCAAAUUAUUAAACACGAUGUGACUUGUUCUAUGUGAUUUUUAGCUUGAAGCUUGAAUUAUGAAAACUAAAGGAAACAAAUCAGAUUGUCUGAUUAAAAAAAAUAGAUUAAAUCGGACUAGACUUUUUUUUUGUAAUCAACUAAAACUUUUUAUAAAACUUAUUUACACUUUAGGCAAACUAAAAAAUAUAUUAACUUUAACCGACCCAUCUAAUAUAUUAUUCCAAUAAUAUUUAUAUCAUUUUAUUUUGAUAUAGCUAAUUAGUGUUAGAUCGACCUAUUAAAAACAUGUAUGCUAACUUUUAUUAAAAAAGGUAUACUUAAUACCUUAUAUAAUAAGAGUCUUUAAAUAGAUUAAUAUGACAUAGUUGAAAUUUAAACAAAAAAUAAAUUUGAAUUUUUUAAAUGAAUAAACAUGUAAUAAAUGUGAAUUUUUUAAAUGAAUAAACAUGUCAUAUCCAACUGGUUUAUAGGUUUGAUUUGUUUAUAAGUAAAAUUUGAUAUGAUAUAUUUACACUGUUAUUUAUACGUAACAACUAUUAAUAUUUGUACAUUCUUAUUGUAAAAAUUUAUAUAUACUUAAUAUAUCAUCAUAAUUACUUUGAAUUAUUUUUUGUUGAAAAAUAAAUAAUGAUUAAAUAUGAAUGGUAGAUAAUACAAUAGCAAUAUAUAAAACUCAUAUCAUAAUUAUAUUAGUUAAAUUGAAUAGUAAAUAUAAUGGGUAUAGGCUAAUGUCAAAGCUGUCAAAGUUUAAUUUUUUUUCUCUUGGCAUCUAGUGAUGGAGGUUUUACAUUAGUAUGGAUUCCAAAGUAAAUGUUAUAAAAGGACUUCCACAAGCUGGUAGUCACUCAUUAUACUCUUAAUUUUCCCCUUUUCCCUUUUAAAGUAACAUUGCAGCUAAGUUCUAAGUUCCUAAAAUAUUCUUUCCCAUUUGUUGCUACUAUGUUUCUCGUUUUGACUAGAACAGCAAAAAAACAUCCAUGUCAUACUUAAAUUAUGCUUUCUGAAUCAGUGUUGUGUAAUAAUUUAUGCAUAUAAGUUGAUACGUUAUAGUUUUUUUUUCUCCUUCUCAUUGGGUCCCUAUAGCAUAUGCUACUUUAUAUGGUCUAGCCAGCAACCUUCCCUCUUACGCGCCACAGCACAUGCAGCACAGAUUUUGGGCUCCAAAAGAAAAAUAUCAUGACACAGAGAUAUCAAAGAACGUAGUUAAUUGAUAUUGACUCAUGAGGAUGUGUGUGGGUAGUGGUGGGUUCAGAUUUACAGAUGAAAUCAGAUGUUUACAUUUAUGUCUCGUUUUAUAUCCUCACUCAAUUAGAAAACAUAAUUUCAUUAAAAAUAAAAAUCAUAAGAUUAUAAAUUAAUAUUUUUUAUAUUAUUUUGUGAAGUCUGGUUGGCAAAGAAGAUAAUUUGUUAAGAGAUAGGAUCUUAGUUUCAGCUUUACAACUAAUCUUAGUAGAAGAAAAAAAGGAGUAUGAAGAAGGACUUAAUUUAAAAAGUGGAUGGUGCCAUGGUGGUCAACUUUUUUUUAUUUUUUCUUUCCACUUCCAACUUGAGUAGCUGUCAAGCCUGAUAUGACGAAAGUAGUGGGUCCAUACAAGGUUGGGUUAUUGAGUGACAUAAUUGGUAUUCAAAUUUGAGAGUUUUAAUAAUGGUUAGGGAAAUUAAAGGGUGGUAUCUUGAUAUGAGUGUGAUAUUUAAAUUUGGUAUAGAGUUUAUUUAAUUCUUAGUUCACAAGACCUACAAAGAGAAAAAACCACCAACAUAUGCUGCAGCAUAUCAUAGUUUCUUCCUCUCAUAUUGAAUCUCUCAUUGAAAUAGUAUCACUAUUCCAAAAACAUAUUUUGUCCAAAGAUGUGUAUAUAUAACAUUUCAUUCAAAUUGGUAAAAAAUAUAAAAUUAAUAUAUUUAAUUUUUGUUUUAUUUUUAUAAUUGUUCCUUCCCGAUAACAAAUGAGAAGCAUCGGGUACAUCAAAUGAUACAAACUUUGAAAAAUAAGAUGUGAUUCCAUUGUAAACUUGCUAAUGAUUGAAUUGAACUUAAAAUCAUGAACAUAUGACUCUAAGUGGGUAAGUUCUCAAGGUAGUUUAACCUCUAAUAAUUCUACCAAAUCAAUUAUCACUUCUUUUCCGAAUACUACCUUAAAAAUUGAUUGUUUUUAAUAAGUUUGACUGAUAAAUUCCAUUGCAAUUGUUCAUGUUUCAUCUUCACUAGAAUGACUAAUGAAAGAAUCAUUUAUAUUAACCCAAACCCAUAAACUGACAAGAAAAACGCAAACAAUAUUUUUUUAUCAAUUAUAAACUGGGCUUAAUUUCAUUCGAAUAUUGGGCUUUAUUUUAACUAACGAUUACCAGUGCUACACUACAAUCAUGGGCUUGGAUUAAUUCCAAGCAAGGCCCAAAAUCCAUAACAACCAAGUGAGGAAAAAGAGAAGAAAAAAUUAAUCAAACAAUCAAUGGGAUGGGGAAGAAAAGCUGAAAAACCAACAAAAGAAACAGUGUGAAUCUGAAUCCGCACUUUGUACUUUGCAUUGUGAAAUUUUGUUAUCCUUUUGGUUUCUGAUCGGAUAGUUUCUCCAUUCACUUUGUGAUCUCCAUGUCCAUCACCAUUCAAACCUUGGAAGACAGGUACACUUCAUCAACUCAAAAUCCGCUGUUUAUGUUUCUUCCACCUCGUUCUGUGUUUUUUCACGACCAAAUUGUAUUUGAUAAGAUACUUCAUUUAUAUUUUAUUCCCGUGUAUGUUUUAUUUAUUGUUAAUUUUUUAUUGCUUUUGAUUAUAUAAAACCUAUGUAUUGCUUAGAUUCGGUCUUCCAUCUUGAUUUCUAUGGAGUUGAACUAAUAAUCAGAACCAAGUUUUGUUUUGAAGAUGCUCCCAUUUUUUUUUGCAUAAGGAUACUGAAUUUUCAUCUUGCCGAGGUUCUGCAUGCAUAAUUUUGUUAUCCUUUCCAUCGUUAUUGAACAGUACCUGAAUUUAGUGCUACUCCCUUUUAUUGUAAACUGUUGAUUAAGGAUUUUUGGGUAGUAAAGAAAUAUAUAACAGUAGGAAACAAACGAGUUUAUGCAAAGGCUGUUGAUUAAAUUUAAAUUCAUUGGUAAUAGUUCAAUAUAUAGAUCCUAUAGUUGGUAAUUAUUUAACGGUUUGUUGUUUCUCUGUAUUCAUAGCUCCGUCCUGAUUAUAUAAUAUCGGUUUUGGUUCUAGGUAUAUUGCUUCUUGCAGGAGACAUGGUGUUUUGCCUAAUACUACUAUUUUGGCAAGCUUUUUCAAGGUCUGUUGUUUAUUCCAUCUCAAAUUUUGCUGCUCAAGCACUGCAAACCUUUCAAUAUCUCUGUUAUAUUUGGAUAUACAGAGAUUUACUCUUUUGUCCUGGUAAAUGCAGUAUACAUGGACAAGAGACUUACUUACACCAAACUUUGGUCUUAACCAAUUUUUUGUUGUAUUAUGCAGCAUUCACUUUUUUCCUUUCCUUUUACUCCAUUUGUUCAUGCAGUUACUUUCCUCGCACAGAGGGCAGUGGUUUUAUUCCAUUUUAUACUUUACCCUUUUCACGAGUGUAAGAAGAUAAACCUGACCAUGACCAUGCAGGCUGAGAUCAAAAAGUCCUGCAAAGAGCUGUCUAGUCUGGAGAUUUUUAUUGAUGACCUUAAGGAUAUUGAUUGUGCUCCACUUCUUGACGUAUGCAUGAACCUCGAUACUUCGGAAAUUGAAGCUGUUGACGUUCGCAAUGAAACAGCAUGUGCGUUGAACGGAGAAUAUGCAUUGUCAUUGAUGCGUGCUAUUAACCAAAAGCUUCGAGUAGUUGAUCUACAGGAUCUGUCUUUUGGAAAAGACUUCUUACGGUAUAUUAUGGUGCUUGUUAUGGAUUAUCUUUGUAUAAAUGACAUAAUUUCUACUAGUAUAGUCACUUUUAUUCAGACCUACAAUGUUAAGAUGGUAAUAUAUAAUUUCUAGCUUUGGUUUAGUUGUUUCAAGACUACAUAUGUGUGGCUCAUCAUCAUGGGGAGAUCUUACCUUCACUGAUUCACUUUCUGGCAUUAGAUUUUUCUUGCAUACGUUGUUUUUUGUGACUCAUACCGGGUUCUAUUAUUAGGGAUAUCUCACAAAGUGGUUUAGCUUGCCAAGUUUUGAUAUUGAGGUCUUCACAUUUCCGGAAGCUGAAUUUGACUGGGAAGUUCAUGCAGAUGCACACCCUUGAUCUUGAUUUUAGUUCAUCUCUUACCAGUUUCCAAGAGGACUGCUUUAAUUGCAUGCCCAAUCUAAUGCGCCUCUCAAUGUGCGAGACACGGAUUACAAAUCUUUGGACAACUGUUGCAGCUCUCUCUAAGCUCCCUUCUUUGGUUGAACUAAGGUUUCAAUAUUGGCAAUGCUGCAAUGAUGCUGGGACAUCUUUUAUCUCACCCAGUAGGAAGUCAGAUAGCAGUGUUGAUCUUGGCCUGCUUAAUAGAGUUCCUUUUACUGGUGAAUCUUUCACUGAUUCAAGGGUACUGACAGAUCCUAACUUCAGUGCAGAAGAUCCAUUGAUAAAUUUGUAUUCCUUUAAUGAAGAAGUUAUAAAUCAUGAUGUUCAAAGCAUGGAUGAGGAUUCAUCAGAUGAUAGUGAAGUUGACUUCACUAGUCAUCAUCAUAGAUUCUGGCUGUCAGAUGUGUUUCCUGGGUGGAAUUUUGAAGUGCCUAUUCAGAACAAGGUAGUCAACUUGGCCCUGUUUGCCUAACUGCAUCUUUUCCUAAUGAAUUCUCUCGUCUCAUGGCAUUCUUAAUAGUAGAAAAAUAUCGGUUUGAGAGAAGAAAGUGAAAAGAGAGAAAUGGAUGAGAAAGAUAGUGUGAAGAAAGAAAGAGGUGAGAAAGAUAGUGUGAAGAAAGAAAGAGGUGAGAAAUAUAGUGACUUUUUCUAUUGUUUGGUACAAGAGAAAGAGGAAAGAAAAAGAAGAGAAAUAAGCGUUUUCUUCUCUCUUUCAUUUGUUUUGUAGAGUAGAAAAGGAGAAGCGAGAAAUGAUUUAACUUUUUGAUGUCAAAAAUAUCAUUGAAACAGAUAUAAGAUAAAAAAUGUUGAUUUUUGUAAAUUAGUAAAAACAAUAUCAUUUAAAUAUUAUUUCUUUCUCAUAAGUGGAGAGUAAGAUAUUUUGUGGGACCAGUAACUUUUAUAUUCUCUCCCUUCUUUCUCUCUUCUCAACCAAACAUGAAAAAAUUCCCAUAUUUCUCUUUAACUUCUCUCUCCCUCUUUUCUGUCUUUGAGAACUCUACCUUAAAGGAUAAAAUAAAUCUUAUAUCCUUUUAACUAUUGUUAUAUUGUAUACAGUGGUGCUUAGUUGUGGUAAGGAUAAUAGCUUGAAUACUGAAAUAUUCAUAUUAAUGGUGAGUAUCAUGCUUUUGUAUUUUGGCUAUUUCCACUUUGUUUUGAUGGUCAUAUUGCAUUUUCAGUGUUUAGUGAAUUACUCCAUGACUUAGAUUUAAUAUGCAUGCUUUAAGGAAAAGGUAGGUGAAAUGCUUAAUGUUAAAUUCCAUAAACGUGAAUCAUGUUAUCAAAUUAUAUAUUAUAUAAUGCCGUAUGUCAUACUAUUCAAGCUGUAACUUCGAAAUCAUUUUUUACCUUGAAUUUUGGCUGUUCACAUUACAGAAUGAAGAUGGAGAAGAUUCAUCUCAAGACGCCUUUACAGCGCAUACCACUGAUGUUUCUAUGAAGUAUAUGUCUUGUCAUGCAUCACCAAUAUGCUAUGAGAAACAUUACAGAGAGUUCAUGAUAGCUUCAUUAUCAAAUCUGAAAGUUUUAGAUAAUUUGACGAUCAGAAAUAGUGACAGGGAAAGGGCUUCUGGAAUAUAUUCUCAAUACUUUCAAUAUCUUCCAUAUGGAUGGAAGCAAAAAGAGAGCGUGGUAAAUAUCCUACGUAAGCGAGAAAUAAAAUCAGGCCACAUUAAGGUGCGAACUUCCAAGUGUAGACCGUUGAAUCCUUCUGGAGAGUCCAAAUACUUUUAUACCAGGUCUCUAUCUGCUGCUAAAAUGGGGUCUUCAACUUGGCCUUUCUUGCACCCCCUUUCUCUAUCAGGAUGUGAAUUAGAUAGGGGCUUUCGUCCAAGGCAGUUUGAGUACCAUCCAUCCGACUCUAGCUUGAUGGUCCUUGGAACUCUAGAUGGUGAAGUAAUUGUUAUCAACCAUGAGAAUGAACAUAUUGUGAGUUAUAUCCCAUCACUUGGAGCAAUGAAUAGUGUCUUGGGUCUCUGUUGGCUCAAAAAAUAUCCCUCCAAGGUAUGUACAUAUUUCACGAAAAUGAUUCUGUAUAGAUUCUAUUCAUAAUGUUUAUUGUUUUAGUUGAUGAAUGAAUACUAGCAGCUACAUAUAUAUUUAUUGGCAAUUAUUGAAAUCUUCAUCCUAGUGCUCUACAUCAACUAACAUAAUCCAUUCCUUGUCAUACAUAAGUAGCAUUUGGUAGACAUGUUAGAACAGGAUGGAACAAAGCAUGUAAGGUGUAUUCUAUGUUUGGUUUAUUUAAUAAAAGAAUAGAUCAUGAAAUAAGAUUAUAAAGUUACAACAUUUUUGUUCCAUUGAAAGGGGCGUGGAACCAAAGAGAACAGAAUAGAACAUCAUUUUCCAUCUUUGUUAAGGCUUAAGUGGUUUUAAUUCAGACUGAGAGAGAUGACCUUGUGUGGUUUUCUGGAAGUAGCAAUAAUUCAGUAUCAGAAUUGCAGUCUAGAUUUUUUUAGAUAAGAAAGGCAUUGAUUCAGUGAAGCAUUCAAUUCUCUAUAGUUAGUAUUAGAGCAUUUGCUUCUCCAGUGUUUUUGCUUGAACAAUUCUGAUGCUAUUCUUUCUUGUUGUUGCAUGUCAGCUUAUAGCAGGUUCAGACAAUGGUUCCCUGAAAUUGUACGACAUCCACCAUAUGCCAAGAAAAAAUACUGGCACACAUUGGAAUUCUGGUUGUGUUACCUUCGAUGAGUUUGACCAGUUGACAUCUGUUCAUGUUAACUCUACGGAUGAAUUAUUUCUUGCAAGUGGUUACUCAAGAAAUGUUGCUUUGUAUGACAUCAACAAUGGGAAGCGGUUACAAGUGUUCACAGAUAUGCAUUCUGGGCAUAUUAAUGUAGUCAAAUUUGCAAAUCAUUCCCCGUCAAUUUUUGCCACUUCUUCAUUUGAUCAGGAUGUCAAGAUGUGGGACUUGAGACAGAAACCAAUAUAUCCUUGCUUCACUACUUCAAGUUCAAAAGGAAAUGUGAUGGUUUGCUUUUCUCCAGAUGACCGAUAUAUUCUAGCAUCAGCAGUUGAUAAUGAGGUAAUUUUUACUUAAUAGUGUGUUAGUUAUUGGUUACUAUGCAGAGUGCAAUAACCGGGAUAGGCUGUGCACCCCUUUUGGAAUCUGGUUCAGCUUUAAAGCAAGUAACAAUCACCAUCAGAUUUUUGUUAUCUAUGUACAUUUAUUUCAUUUUAUUGCUAAUAUGCUAGUCUUUCUCUUUGGUUAGAAAUUUGUGUUAACAUUACAAUGCUGGUAUCCAAACUAACAUGUAUAAUCUGACAGGUUAGACAGAUUUCAGCUGCUGAUGGUAGGCUUCACUUGGUUUUUGAUAUAGCUCCCACUGGAAGUUCUCAGAACUACACCCGUUCUUAUUACAUGAAUGGGAGGGACUACAUUAUUAGUGGGAGUUGUGAUGAACAUGUUGUUCGUAUUUGCUGUGCUCAAACUGGAAGACGCCUAAGAGAUGUAUCCCUUGAGGUAUGUCAAUCAUCUAAUUGAUGCACUUCCAGAAUUGCUUAUUCUAUUCCUUCUUAAGAAUAUGAAGGGACUAUAUAACUAUAUGAUAGGACUGCGCCAUUUAUUUAUGAACCUAAUCUGCACAUUCAAACCUUACUUGUAUGUUCGUAGUCCCUCACAUUUUUCCAUUGUGCUUAGAGAGGAGCACGAGUGGCUGAUAUCUGGCCAUUGUGCUUUCAUUUCAUUGAAUUAUUUUUCCAUUGUAUUGAGAUUGCUUGUCAACUUCAAUGCAGGGAAAAAGCUUAGGAAGUUCCAUGUUUGUUCAAUCUCUGAGGGGUGAUCCUUUCCGGGUAAUCCUUAUUUUUAUUGUACACCUUAUUUUUCUCUCUCCAUUUUUUCUUUGCAAGAGGUUGAGUCUCGGCAUAACAGUAAGGUUGUUGCUUAGUGACUAAGGUCACGAGUUCGAAUCUUGAAAAUAGCCUCUUUGCUUGGGGGUAAGGCUGCGUACUUUUACUCUCCUUAGAUCCCACUAGGUGGGAGCUUCGUGCAAUGGGCUGCCCUUUUAUUUUUAUUUUCUUUGCAUUUACCUUUUAAUUUCUGCCUACUCAGGUGGGCUGUUUCUGCUGUCUUGGCUUUGCUAUAUUCUCACAUAGCAUUUAUGUGAUAUGUCAAAUGUCUUACACUUUUUUGUACCUUUUUUUGUGUAUUUUUGUCUUCAUAACUGGAGAUACCUGACACUUGCUGAUUGUUAUGGUUAUGCCAAAGUGACUUUGACAUGCUUGAUUUCAUAGCACAAAUCACCCAUAUAUGUGACCCUUUUUCUCGUCUCUCUUUUGUAUAACCAUUUAUAACGUGGCAUGAAAAAUGAAUUUGCUGCCGAUUGGUAUAUGCAUGUAAACUACUGUUGAACUGGACAUAAUUUAAAGUAAUUGUGUGGACGAGAUACUUACACAUUGUGAAUGUUUUGCUGAAAAGCAGGAAAUAGUUAUUUAUACUUUUAUCCUUAUUAAGAAACUCAUUCAUUCCCUUAAAAUAAAAAGAAACUUAUUUGUUCAAAAUCGUGAAUUUAUAUUCUCUUUCCCUUGUUAUUAUGAUUUGGAUAUUGUAAAAUGGUGUUUUUUAAUAUGAAUUUCAAAUGAUGUAUGCAGGAUUUCAAUAUGAGCGUAUUAGCAGCCUACAUGCGUCCUGGCUCCAAGUCUGAAAUUGUUAAGGUACCUUGUUUUCUUCAUUGCAUUCUUCUAAAGCACCACAAUCUCAAUGAUACUCCAGUGUUUCUGAUUUUAUGCUGUAUAUUUAAGGUCCCUGUUAACAAAUAUCUUAAGGACAUUGUUCAAAAAUUUAAUAAAUAGAAAUUUUUUGUAAGAAAAUAUAUUUUGUUAGAAUACCAUUCUGCUGUCGUUAAAUUAAAAUGCAUAUGAUUUACAAAUAUAAUUGAGAUAUUUUAGCACUUGAUCUGUGGAGAUUUCGUCCCUCAUUUUCUUUCAAAAUUAUAAUGUAAAAUGUUUUCCUUAUUCAUUUGUGGCUCACUUCCAUUCCAUCCUCCAAGGAAACAUAUUCAAUUAUAGCUUUCCAAAUUCCUCAAAUUCGGACCUUUUUUGUGUUCAUACUUUGCAGAUUAACUUACUAGCAUCUAGUGGCUAUGCCAAUGAUGAUCCUGAUGAGGAGUGCCACUGCCCAUCCCACAGUGUGGGAGCUUGAUAUAAGAUUAUAUGUGUACCAUACAGCAUGUAUAGGUUAAUUUCAAUUGCUGUUUUGGAGAGUUAUAAUUAUAAUUUUUGUAUUAAAAAGCUGUUUAGCUCAGCUUUGCCUCCAGCUAGGUAAUUUUAAUAAUAAAACGAAUGUAGAUAAAGGAAAGCAUCUGUAAUAAUUCAAUAUUUGCCUUAGUCACACACCAUUUGCUGUAAAAAUUGUGUCCUAGUUCGAUUCAGUUGUAGUUCUUUAAAUUACUUGAGCCUAGGUCCUGUUGAGAAUAAUUUUAAUCUGAGAUCUGUUUGCUAGUUAAGUUUUAGAGGGGAUAGAAAGAUAAUAUUUCGUAGGUAUUUCACAAGUGUAUUUGAUGUCCUAGAACCUUUUCAUUAUAUUCCUUAUUCAGAACUUAAUUAGCAAACAGUCGCAAACAGACCGGAGAGGGAUAUUAGCUGCUCUUUCUCAUUUAACUCCAAAGGAAUAAGGGUGUUAUUUUUCCUAUUGUAAAUUGAAGCCAAGUGGAAUCAAGAGCAGUUGCACAACACAUGGGGAUAGUAACAAAAGAACAACACACGUGAGAUGUAUCUAGAGAGAGGACAAUAACAAAAAUCACAUAGGGACAAAGGGAUAGGAAGGCACCAGAAACCUUCAUUGGUGCAGAAAACUAAUGGGAUAGGUGCAUGAACCAUUACAUGCUGUCUCUUCUUGGCUGGUACAAGCCACCGACUCUACCCAUACUUUAUUCUAACCCCCAUAGAACUCAGACUGAUCCUUCUGGUUUACAUUUUAUUUUAUUAUUAUCACCAACUUUGUUAAGCCUAUUCCUUAGUUUUACCAACUUUAUUAUUGCUUUUCCCAAUUUGCCACCAUUUUACAAACUCCAUCAUUAUAUAUACGCCAUCACAAACCCCAUCACCCAAUAUUAGCAUCAUACAAAAAAUGAAGCCUGUCUUUGCCACACUGCUGUUUUGUUCCCUUGUGUUAAGCUUCUCUUUCUUGGAGUCAGCCAUAGCAUCUGAAGAUGCAUGUAAGAUCUUCUUCCACUCUUUGUGAUAUGUUUCAUAAAUACCUUUUCAUUUGGAGCUUAGUUCUUCGGUUGGUGUAGUGAUGUAUAUUUUUCCUUGUUAAUGGCAGCGUUUUGCAGCAAGAAAUGCUCGGCUAGGUGCUCUGUUGCAGGAGUUCAGGAUAGGUGCUUGAAGUACUGUGGAAUAUGCUGCGCAGAGUGCAAGUGUGUUCCUUCUGGGACUUAUGGGAACAAGCAUGAAUGCCCUUGCUACAGGGACAAAGUUAACAAAAAGGGCAAGCCCAAAUGCCCUUGAACUCAAAUGAAGACCAAGCUUGAAGCCCCCACUCAGAAUAGGAGAAGUGUGUUUUGUGAUAGUAAUUGAGAAAUUUUAGCAGCGUUAGUUCAACUUAUUGUUCCUAUUAGUGGUUCUUAAGUAAUGUUAGAUUAUUGUUAGUACUUAGUAUGCCCAUGUCUGUUGAAUGUAGUACUAGAUUUGAAGAGGAAUAAUUUAUGAUAUAAACUUGUUGCAGUGUUGUUUUUUUAUCUCAUUUUCGCUGACUUGCUUACAAAACAAACAAUAUUUUAUGAACAUGAUUCUCUUUUAUGCCUAGGAUUCUUCUGUAUAAUUCCUACUUCAUAAUCUAAAGCAAUGUGAUGUGUCGCAUGUCACUGUUUUAAAUCUGCCACAAUUUCCAACACUUUGGUAUCACUCUCAUAUCUAGUACUAGUAUGGACACACUGGGACAGGUACUUGUAUUGGUAUAGUCACAAGCUAUGAAAAAUUUCUAAAACUUAAGAUACAGGUGCAACAUGAUAUAUUAAAUGGAAAUGUAAAAAAUAUUUAUAUAAGUGAGGGAUGAAAAUGGGCCAUUGAUGGUAAGGAUUAAAGACUUAAAUAAUGAAGUGCAAGAGGUCCCAAGAUUAAGUCUCAUUAACAAAAAAAUAAUAAUUUGAGUUUCAUCUACAACAAAAAUAAUAACAUACUAACAAUAAAAAAAAAGUGAAUAAUGAAAUAAUUAGAUGCAUGCAAUUUUUAUAUAUUUAUAGGUAUUAUUUUUAUUUAGGAGUUAAGAGAAAAGUAAAUUAUAACUUAUUUUUAAGAGUUAUAUAUGGUUAGUAUAUAAUUCACAAUUUAUUUCUAUUAUUUAUUUUUUGAAUAUCUAAUAGUUAUUAAGCAUGAAUUUCUAGUGCUACAAUAACAUUUAUAAAAUUCAUACCCUAUUAAUGAGUAUAUACAUAUUUUUCCUAUAUUUUUAAUCUCCCUUCUCGAUUGCACUUCAAUAAUAGAAAACAGUUUGAUGAGGGGGGCUAAGACAUGCAGGCUUCAUCAACUUUCCUUUCCAAUAAUUAUGUUUGGUCGGAUGAGUUUUUCCUAUGGAACUCAUGUCCCCUUUUCCACUAUUCAAUAAAAUCUUGGCUACCAUGUGUAAUCUUCACCGUCAAACUUCUUUUAACGAAGUGUGUGGAUGAGAUUAAUUCAGUUCCCAUUACGCAUAGAUAAUUAAACGACAACGUAUGGAAUUUCUCCGCUCCAAACCUGUGAGAUUUGAAAUGCAGGCCAGGGAAGGGAAAAGAAAAGGUUGUGACUUGUGAGCACCGAAAGUAGAAAAUGGAUAAGUCGAAGAUCGAAGAGGUUAUUGAGAAGCAGGUCCUGACGGUGGCGCAGGCGGUGGAGGAAAAAAUUGAUGAUGAAAUCGCCGCACUCGAACGUCUUGACGCCGACGAUAUUGAAGCCCUAAGGGAGCGCAGAUUGCAGCAGAUGAAGAAGAUGGCAGAGAAGCGAAGCCGCUGGAUCUCCCUCGGACACGGCGAGUACACUGAGAUUCCUUCUGAGAAAGAGUUCUUCUCCGUGGUCAAGGCCAGCGAACGCGUUGUUUGUCAUUUCUACCGUGAAAACUGGCCCUGUAAGGUACACCGAUUUCAUGCUUUCCAAUGCAUGUUAAGUGGAACAAGAACUAGGUCUCUUUUACUCUCUGCAUAUCAGAUUAUGAGAAUUUGAUCAAUGAAUGUGUAAUUGUAUGCAAUUUAAAGCACUGCUAUUGGCACAAGUAUUAGUAUUAGGAUUUUUUCUCUCUCUGACGGAUGAAUUAUUAAAAUCCAAAUUUUAAUUGAUAGCUUCAGCCUGAAAAGUAAGGGUGUCGAUAUUAUACAUAACUUGCUGCCAGCGGCAAGAUAGAUAUUUUUAUUGCAGAAAACACCACCACCUUAGUGUUAGGAAAGUGGAAGCUGAGGUACAUGGAUAUACAAUUCCUUUUGAAGAAUUAUUUAUCUUUCACUUUAAACUCCAUGAGUGCAUUUUGAGUGUUUUCAAAAAAUAAAUUAACAUGUUCAUGUGUAUUGGAUUGCUCAUUGAAUCAAUUACACCAUAGAAAACCAUGUGAAACAGUCUCAUUAGUAUUAUCACCAUAGCGAAUUAAAUCAGUUACAGGCACCAUAAUUUGAGUACAAGUUCAGCAAAUAUUAAUGUACCAGAAUUUGAGUAUAAUACAGCAAGUGCUAAUUACGAUUAACGCUCGCAAUUGUGGUAUUUACUUAACUCCCGCAUUUUCUAGGAUAUAAAAUGUAGGAGAAAUAAUUCAUGUGCAUGUUUCAUGUGCAGGUAAUGGACAAGCAUUUAAGUAUACUAGCAAAGCAGCAUGUUGAGACUCGAUUUGUGAAAAUUAAUGCUGAAAAAAGUCCAUUCUUGGCUGAGAAGCUUAAGAUCAUUGUUCUCCCAACCAUUGCCCUCAUAAAGAAUGCCAAAGUGGAUGACUAUGUGGUAUGUAGAUCAAAGCACUUGAUGAUAACAGUGAUUAUUGCUAAUGAUUUUUGUUUAAAGAGAUUUCUCCCCUUGAUUCUUUCAAUUUUAGCAACAUCAAUUUGAUAAUGGCAUGUGUGCUAGGUGGGAUUUGAUCAACUUGGAGGGUCUGAUGAGUUUAGCACGGAGGAAUUGGAAGAAAGAUUGGCUAAAGCUCAAGUGGUCGUUUUUGAGGGUGAAUCUUCAUUGAAUCAUGCCAGGUCUAGUGCACAAACUAAAAGAAGUGUUCGACAGAGCUCAAAUGCUGACUCGUCAGAUUCAGAGUAACUCACAUUUUCUAAUAAGUUUUAUUUAUGCUGCUCUCGUGGAAGACUGUGGAUUAGGGACACAUUUUCAACGUAGUCUCAUUUAUCAUCAUCUUGGUGUGUUUUUGUCUAUAUGAAUUUAUCAUGAUUGUCGUUCUUGUUCUAGUAGAUUUAGUGAUUAUAUCACAUGGCUUAUACUGAAGUUGAGAUAUCUCAUCUUGGCUGAAACAUUGUUGAGAUGUUCUUCUGAUUGUAUUAAAAUGAUAAUUUUACAAGUUUAGACACAAUCCUGAUGUAUUUCUUCUAGGCUAUGUUAUGAUGCCAAUGGAAGGAAAGGGUGGAUUGCAAGGAAUGGUAAAGGUCAUAGGAGGUAGGCCAUGACAGCAAGAAAUUGGGGCAAUGGUUACAAAAGUUGAACCUAGGCAUCUCCCUUUCUUAGACUCUCCAUGCUCCUCCCUUAGGCUUUAUUUUUCUCUGUUUCCAUGUGUCUUUAUCAUUCCAACUUUCUCAAUUGUUACUCAUAAAUCUAUGCAAUCUUUGAGACCAGUAGUAAUGCGACGAGUAUCAUAGUACAUCUUCCAGUUAUAUACUUCUCCAAACAUUGCUCCUUCUGCUCCAGAUGAGUAUGUUGCUGUCAUCACAAUAACCUCAUGGGAAGGAGGGAUAGCUGCUUCCCUGAAUGAUGGAACCAGACCUAAGCACAUGAGGAAAGUUCAACCCAAAAGAUUAGUUUAUUGGGCGAGAGAGUCUUAUAGCUUAAGUACUUUGUUGAGUUUGCUAUGAAUGUAGAAUUCCCAACAUUGUCGCCCCCUUUUAAGGGCCGACAUCCACAUUGGCUUUUACUCUCUCGAUAUUGACUUGAUGGUAGCCCUUUAUCUUUUGGCGGCUUCCGUCAUCUAUCAGUACUCGGUAACAUACCUUAGUUCAGUCUAUAGGUAGCCCUUUCCAUUGCACAACUCUCAAUGAAAACACCAAUUUAGGGGUAAGUACAUGAGGAGAGCUCAACCUAAAAAUACUAGUCUAUUAGAUAGGAGAGCUUCAUGACUUAUUACAUUGAGUUUACUAUGCCAGGACUCCUAACAAACCAUCUGUAUACUUUUCUUUAAAAAAAGAACUAAUUAAAAUUAUACAUUAAAUGAGUGUAGUUGCAAAUAGACCAUAGGAAAUCUAGUAAGAAGAAUGGUUUGCUUUAUGUUAAAUAAAUUCUUAAAUCUUCUCUAUAAUGUUAUGAUAUUAUUUUUGUAAAGCCAAAAAAUACAUCACAGUAUAUUAGUCUCACCGUAUUAUGAUAGCAAAAACGUCGGUUAAAAGUUUUUGAAAACAUUUUAAAUUUUUUUGACAUCUGUUGCAAAAAUUGAUUCACUUCAGAAUAAAGAAAAAAUCAAUGCUGUGAGUACUUCACCGGUUUAUUCUAACAAUCAAUGAAUCAUCAAAGUUUCUAAUAAUACAAUAAUCCUGAAACUUAAUAAUACUGGCAUCUAUGCCUACUUACUUCAGCUGAAGUUGGUGAUUUUUCUAACAAUUACAACUAAAAUAACAAAUAAGUCAACAUGUAACACUGAAUCAUCGAAUGUUAAUUACAUAAAGAAAGCCACAUAACAUGUUUUAUGGUCCCUUAAAACUGUAUCCUGAGCCGUUUCUCAACAAAAGCCAACACCUUUUUCCCGUAAAAAUGGUUACACAGAUCUCUAUAUUUGGUCAAAAUGCUAUCUAACAUCCUUUUAUGCAGGUAGCCCUGCAAUAAACAGAGGGAAAAAAAGAGAUAAGCACAUGAUUAAAGAUAUAAACACACAUAAACAUAGUAGUAGUAUCAUACCUUGGAGUUUUCCAGUGCAGUCUGAGCAACAUAAUUUCCAUAAGGAUCUUGAAGGACACUAAAAAAUUCAGUGCUAUUCAUCAAUUCGAGAAUUAUAGUCAUAGAAUCCCUCUCCUCAGAAUAUUUUAAGAGAUUUUGCACCACAUUGCUAGCAUGCUUGUUCCUGGAUAGUUGAACAUAUUUACCCCCAAGCUCUGAUAUUAUCAUUCCAUUGACUUUAACUAUCUCCAUCUCAACUAAAUAUUGCACCACAUAGUUUCUGUGGUUAUAAUUAACAAAAAAUAUUAGUUUAUAAAGAAAGAAGGAACAUUCAAACUCAAUGAAAUACACUAUCUGGGCAAUUUUAAAGAAAUUUCAUGGUUAUCAUUCUUUUGUAAAAAAAUAUUUAGUUAUAAACCUAAGAUAUCUGAUACUUACAAAAGAAAAAAUAAACUUUUGUCUAUCUUACAUGUAAGGUACUAUUCUAUAUUUUUAACUUCUGAAAUGUUAUCAACGAAAAAGCAUGUGAGAAUAUCUUUGUCCUUUCAAAUAUGAGUUUCAAAAAUAAAUUGUCCAUAAACCAUAUAAAAUAAUGAUGCAUUGUUCAAGAGUUGAACACAAACCCAUAUGGAUCUUCAGCUAGGAGUGCUGCAUUAUAGAUGAUUGCCUGAACCAGUGGUACUAUAGCAUCUGGUAGAGCAUGUUCCAUACAUUUUUGAAUAACCGAACAUCCUUUUUUAUCUGUUGCAAUAUCUACACAUUUCAUUGCUAUUACAUACAAAAUCUCCUGAAAGAAAGUUUUAAUUUAAAUUAAAUAUUAAUAGAAGAAAUAAAGAGAAAAAAAUACUGUCCUCCAUUGAGACUUUGAGAGUGUCAAUAAUAACAUAGGAUAUUGAUAAUAAAAAAACAAGCAUAAGAAUAUAAGAAUGUAAAAGAUGAAUGUGAUGGACAUUACGCAUUGAUAUUCCACGGGGAAAACUUUUAGACAUUGUUCAAUUACAUAACCACCAUUCUCAUUUUUCAUCAAUGUAACAGUGAUUUGCUUUAUUGCAUUUAUAACUUCAUUAAUCUGCAUACGAGUUUUUACAUUCUCCAACAUUCUCUGUAUAACCCUUGUUCUGUAAGGGACAGAAAAAAACAAAAAAAGUGGAUAUAGUUAAGCAGUGUAUUACAUACAAUUCAACCAUGAUUUUUUUUGUUGAAGAACAGAAAUACUAAAGUUAAAGUAAUACCCAUUAUUAUCCAUGCACACAUCUCUCAGCAUAUGCACAUUUUGGAUAAUUGAUAAUACAAUUAAAUCCUUCUUCUCAUCACUCACACUUGUUGAUUCAAAAAUCUUUUGAAUCAAGUAAUUGCCAAACUGGUGUGUGAUUAGCUCGUACAAGUGAUCUUUAACUCCAAAGAGUAUCAUGUCAAUGAACUCCAUUGAUCCCUCAUCAAUCUUGAAUUGCAGGUAACGACAUUUACCUUGAUCCUUUGCCAUUGAAACUAGUUUUGCCCUCAAGCCUUUAAGUACAUUAGAUUCAUGACAUCGAAUAAUUUGCCCAUUAACCACAUUCCCAUUAUACUGCAUUUGAUGAUUCAAAUAUCUAUUAUUAGACAAUGAAUUUGAGCAACUUGGGACACUGGGAUUAUUCAAAGCCGCUUGCACCCUUGGCGCAGCCGCAGCAAGGUGAAUGGAAGCAGAAUUUUCGUAGAGAGGUUGGCUUAUGAAAUUGUUAGGCGUAAAAGCACUACUAUUUCUAAAAGGGUAACUCAAGCUGAGUCUUCCCAUAGUAGAUUCGAGAUCAUCAGGUCCAGGAAGACUAGUACUAGAACCCUGAUAGCCAUGAAGGUUUCUUGGUGGAACAAAAGAUUCAUGGGUUUCUUGUGCCACAAGUAUGGGGUUCCAAAAAUUAUGAUUUUGAACAAUAGCAAAGUCAUCAUUCAAAACAUGGCUUUGUGAUGUGCCAUGUUGAAUAGGAGAGUUGUGUAUUAAGAGAUUGUUGGCAUGAACAUUGUUAUGUGGGGGAAGUGGAAGAUUAUUGUGUUUCAUUGAGAAACAAAAAGAGUUUGAAGGAAACAGAGUAGAGUGAGAUUGAAGUACUUGGAUGGGUUUAUUAUGCAACAAGAUUUUAUAUAGAUACAAGUUCAAAAUAAGAUUGAAGUAAAGUUAAUUUAGAUACUAAUUUGAAAAGUUGUUAAUAUCCAACUAAUGAUUUUUUAAGAAAAUUUGUAGAGAGAUAAUGUUUUUUAUUAUCAUCAAAUUUAUAAGACGUGUUUUUUUAUGGAAAGAUUGACAUCUUUUCCAAUCUUAUCCUAGAAUCACUAGUAAAUAUACUACUUCAAAUUUGUGAGUACUAAUAGACUCAAUUAUCUUAUUUUUUGUGUGAACAAUAUUAUGAUUUUAUUUUUUAUGGAUUGUAUUUGCAAUAUGAUUCUAUGAAACAAAUAAAAAUAAAAAUGCAAAUUUGGAUUUUUGAUGAGAUUCUAAAAAUAUAUAUUUUUCUUUUAAAUCAAUAUUUGAUUUGUGAAAUUAUAAACUUAUGAUUUAAAAGUCUACCUAGUUAAGUUUCUUAUUUUUAUCUUAAAAUACUGUCCAAAUAGUACUAGUGAACCAUACAGCAUGAACAUUAUUUAAUUAGUUUUAGUUUUAAUAAGGAUAUGUAUGGAGACUACUGGUGACAAAAUUAUCCAUAGCAUCCAAAUUAAAUUCAUUCGUUGGAGCUAAUAGAUUUAAAUGGAUGUAAUUUAAUGGAUAAUGUUGAUAAUUGAUGGAUUCAAAUCAAUCCAUUAUAUCCAAUCGAUAUCCAUGGAAUUAUCCAUUUGGAUGGAUAUCCAAUCCAUCCAAGAAUAAAAAAAUUAUUUUCUUUGUUUUUCAAUUUCAUUUAUAUUUAAGAAAAUUAAAUUCGAGCAAAUUUAUCAAUGAUUCUCACUUCACUUUUAAUAUUUUAUUAAAUUCAUAUCAAUGGUAGGAAAUGUAUAUGUAAUUGAUAUAAGUGUUGUUCAAACCGUUUCGUAUCGACUUGUUGAACCUUUAAAUUAGUGAACCGAUUCUAAUACAGGUACGGUAUAAUAAUUAUAUCGGUCAUGCAAUCAUAUCGGUCAAAAUCGGUCAUAACGGUUGGUUUUCAAUUGAACCGUACCGGUAAUACCGACCGGAUUUUAUAUAAAUUAAUUUUUUAAUGAAAAUAAAAAAUAUUGAUUUUUUAUUGAUUUUUCAACAUUAGUAUUAAUAUAUUAUAUAUGUAUAUCUAAUUUUGUCGGUAUGUGGUUUAACUAAUGAACUACUAGUUGAAUCACUGGUUGAACCACUAUACCAGUACGACAGUACCCUGACUAGUUUAUGACCGACACGGUAUUAAUAACACUGAUUAAUAUUAAAAUUUUAUUUUUAAGUACAUAACAUAAAGAUGUAUGAUAAAAAUGUAUGCACUGACCAAUGAGUCUUAUAUACGAUCAUCGGAUCAUCUAUCAUUUAUAUCUAAAUUAUCAUUGACUAUUCAAAAAAUAAUAAUUCAAACGAAUAGUAAAUGAUAUAAUGAUUAUGUAUAAAUAUUUAUACUCACAUUGCAUAAUUAUUACACACUAAAAGUAUUUGUUAAAUAAUUUAUAUGUAGAACCUUAAACGACAUAUUAUCACAGAAUUUUGAAAAAAAAAUAUUUUCCAUAAAAGUUCAGAAAAACACUUUUUAAAAAAGUUGAUUUCUAAAUUAUUUUAGAAGUGUUUUUUAAAAGGUGAUUUUAAAAAAUGUUUAGUUGAAAUAGUAGUUUCUAAAAUAAUGAUUUUCUUCAAUAGAUUUUUCUAGUUACAAUAAAAAAAUCAAAUAGAUUGAAUAUUCAUUUAUCCAAAUCCAUAAAAAGGGAGUCAUAGAUGAAUUGGAUGAUUGAAAUCUAUUGGAUAUUGAUGAAUUGAAUAACAUAAAAUAUAGUUUAAAUGGAUUUAUAUAGAUUAAUGGAUAGCUUUCCAUCCAUCCAUUAACAUCCAAAUUCAUCCAUUUGUCACCUUUAAUGGAAACAAAUUGUUAAGGGGUUAUUUAUCCCUUAUUUUGGCUAAUAUUUACCUCUUUUUUUCAAACCACUGUUAAAAUUCAAAAUUUGAACUUAAGUUUUGAAUUACUGUUUGUUGUAUUUGUUUUUGAAAAUCGGGUUUAUAUAUAUAUAUAUGAAACAAAUGAAGAGCAUAUAUCUAUUGCGAUAAAUAGGAUAUUUUAAUACUAAAUAUUAUAUUAAAAUGAACAUAUAAAAAUAAAAAGUUACAAUCCAAUUUUGGAUUUUUAAUAUGUUUGUAGAAAUAUCUAUUUUUAUUUUUAAAUCAAUAUCUGAAUUUUGAAUUUGCUAACUAAUGAUUUAAACAUCUACCGAGUUAAGUUUCUUAUCUAUUAAUUAUAUAAUAAAAAAAAGUUCUCACACAUUAUUCAUCGUCACAUAUCAAUUUCUUAUUUAUUUUUUUCUCUAAAUGGUUUCACCUCCUUCAUGUGUACAUUUUCAUACUAUAUAUUUCAUUUCCUUAUUAUAAUAAUAUUAAAUUCAUUAUUGCAUUUCUUAAUAAUAAUUUCAAAACAAAAUACAGGUAUUGAGUCUUUAUAUAUGUUGAUUACAGUAUAUAUUUUCUUUACUUAUUAUAAUAAUAUUAAAUCUAUUAUUGCAUUUUGUAAUAAUUUCAAAGCAAAAAAUACUGCAAUAAACCUUUAUCUGUGAUGACUAACGUCAUACUAAAUAUAUUUACUUCUAUCUAUUUACUAUGUAAUAAAACAAGCUACUUAUGAUGUCAUGGUGUGACAAAUGUUUGAUAUUGAUGCAAUUUUCUCCCUCUCAAACAGCUACACACACUUACAAUGGAUCGAUUCACACUCUAUCCACUUUUCAUAAUAAAUAAUUCGUUUAAAUUCAUUCCACAUCAUCACGUGCCACAUAUGGCUUCCUUCUUAAUUUGUUUAUCUCCUAAAAGGGUUCCAUGAUACUACUAUGUACCUACCAACACUAUAUAAUCACUUUUGUACAAUGUAUAUUUCAUAAUUAAUAAUAAAAAGUAUAUAGAAUAUCUAAUUUGUUAUGGUGAUGACAAUGAUGAAAAAUAAUUAUUGCAACACUUAAACCUUUUAAAGUUUUAAUCAACAUACUUAUGAGAGAGGUAAUGAAUAAUAUUUCAUAUUCUUAUUAAUGAUAAAUAGCUAAAAUAUCGAUGAAAAGUUGUAUCGUAUAUUAAUAGCCUAUUAUUUUCCUUUUAACGUUUUAAUUAUAUGAGAGGUGAUGAAUAUUAUUCAAAAUUCUUACUACCGAUAAAUAACUAACAAUAUAUCAUUAUCCAACUAACUAUUCAGCCAAUUAAUAUUUUUAUUAUUAAAUAUUAUCAUCUCACUUUUGGUAAUAAAAUCUUUUCACCUUCCAUUAUGUAAUUAUUUAAUUUAAAUUGAAAAAACUAUAUAUUUUUACAUCAUCAAAGCUUUAUGAUACGUUUCCCACCAGAGACGGGAACGUGUUUGGAUAGGUCCAAGUAGUGCAUUACAUGUACAUGCCUCAUUACUUCAUUUUUCGAUCCAGACUCACCUCAAACCAAUGUUGGUACCUGUUGAGAAUACUACUUGCGGGUCCUUUAGUACUCAAUGAAUCUGUGAGUACCCAUAAAUUAAAAAUAUUAAAAGUAAUUGUAGUUUUUUUUACAUAAUUGUAUGUUUGUUUCCUGAAAUUUUAUAUGUUAUUUAGACAAUUAACAAGAGAAAAAAUUAUAAAAUAUAAUUUAAAGUCUUAAAGCGAAUUUAAAUUGAUUAUUAAACAUAACUCAUUUUAUCAAACAAACAUAAAAACAAAGUCAUUACUUCAACAUUAUGAUGUAAAAUUGAUUUAGUAAGAUCUGUUUAAUAAAUAUAACAUUAGAUUAUGCAUAUGAAUUAACAACAUACCAUCAUAUCACAUUUCUUAACAAUAUAUCAUCAUUGUUAUAAUCAUAUUAUUUAUGAAUUAAUAUGAUAUUACAAUUAUGGAUUAAUAUGCAUAAUCUAAUAGUGGGUCUCAAAAUCUCGGGUCUCAAUUACCGGCUAGUCCAAAAAUACGGAUUCAGACUAGACCCGUUGCGGUUAUUCGCAGGUCUAGGUACCCAUUGUCAUCCCUAUUUCCCACUGAUUUUUAAUAUCAUUGUUUAGAUCCUUUCGAUUUUAAUUUCCCCCUAUUAUAAUUGAAAAAAUCAAAUCCGUAAUUGAAGUUUUUUGUUUUAAAAAAUCAAAUUCGAAAUUGGAUAAAAAUAUUUCAUUUCCUACAUGUUUUAAAAUAUUUAUUUUCAAUAAAAUCACAUAGUAUUAUGUUUAAGUCUCCUAUUUUCGUAGAAAAUUUAAAUUUGAAGUUGUCAUUUAUUUUUCUUAUAUGUUUGAGCAGACAAAUACACCAGUAACACAUAAGAUUUUAACAAUAUAAAUAUACAGAUAACAUGUGUUUUAACUAUACAAAUACACGAAUAACAUACAUGUUCUUAGUAAUGUGAAUGUACAUUUAAUGUGUGUUUUUAAUCAUGUGAGUACAUGGAUUACAUAUGUGUUCUUAACAAUAUGAAUACAAGAUAACAUGUGUAUUUUAACCAUUUGAAUACAUGAGUAAUAUAUGUGUUCUUAACCGUAUGAGUGCACAUGUUAUAUGUGUUUUAAUAAUACAACAAAUACAUGAUUUAAAUAAAUUUAGUUUCCAUUAAGGAUAUUCAUGGAGAAAAAUGGUAGAGGAUUGUUUAUCUCUUAUUUUGGAAUAAGUUUUACUAUUUUUUAGGGUGAAUAUGAAACUAGUCAUAUUAUCUUGUUCUAGUAGUGUAAGGUCUCACUUAAUCCCUUAAUGAUCAAAAGGUCAAUAAUUGAUUUUUGUGAACGACAACCACAGAUCCAAAAAAGGUUAGUUACUUACUUUAGAGGAUGAAAAAGUACUCUUAAUAAUACAAACAAAUUCUCAAAUAACAAUGUUAAACCAUAAUUACUACUAUAUUAUAUUUGUUUUUGAUGUUAUAUAUUAAUCAACAACAUCACUUUGUCAUGUGCCAAGUUGAGCAGGAGGGUUUUGAAUUGAGCAAUUGUUUGCAUGAACGUGCUUAUAUGGGGAAAAUAGAAGAUUACCGUGUUGCAUUGUGAAAUAAAAAAGGUUCGAAGGAAACCGAGUAUAGUGACAUUGAAAUAUCUUGAGGGGGUUUAUAAUGCCACAAGUAUUUUAUACAUAUACGAGUUUGAAAUAAGAUUGAAUUGAAAUUAAUUCACAUAAUAAUUUGAAAAGUUGUUAAUAUCCAACUGAUGACUUUUUAGAAAAAUUUGCAAAGAGAUUAAUCUUUUUUAUUAUCAUCAAAUUUAAAGUAAGAUUAAUCUUUUCCAAUCUUAUUCUAGGGGUCACUGAUAUAUAUAUAUAUAUAUAUAUAUUCAAAUUAGAUGAGUACUAAUAGACUCAAUUAUCUUAAUUAUUAUUUUUGUGAACAAUGUACAAUUACAUUUUUUUAUGAAUUAUAAUCAUAAUAUGAUUCUAUGAAAUAUAUAAAAAUUAGAAUGCAAAUUUGAAUUUUCAAUGUGAUUUUGAAAAUAUCUACUUUUUUAUUUUAAAUCAAUAUUUGAUUUAUGAAUUUAAUAAGAAUAUGUACUGAGACAAAUUGUUAAAGGAUUAUUUAUCUUUUAUUUUGGGGUAAGUUUACAUAUUUUUUGGGUAGAUAUGAAAUUAGUUAUAUCAUCUCAAAUUUGAAUAAAAAGUCAUACCACUGCCAAAAUUCAAAAUUUGAGCUUAAGUUUUGAAUUAUUGUUUGUUAUAUUUCUUUUAGAAAAUCAGGUUUACAUAUACUAGCGUGUUGACAGUCAGUGUUAUGCUUGUCAACACGCUUUUUUAUUGUUUGUAAGGUGUAGUUUGUACAUUAUAUAUGAUAAAUAUAAUAUUUUGUGUUAAAUAUUUGUAAUUUGCAGUUUAAUUUAUUUGAUUGGUAUAAUAUUCGAAUUUUUUAAAUACAAUUUCAAAAUAAGAAGAUAAUGACGGUAAAAUAAAAAGAUAACGUUAUAUGAUUUUUUUUCUAGAAAUAAGAAGAUAAUGAGGGUAUAAUAGAAAAUCACAAACUAUAUCAUGGUGGGAUGAUUAUUUUGUGUUUUCCAUUUAUUUCAUAUUGUGAUAAAAACAUGAAAUAAAUAUAUAUAUAGAGCAUUUAUCUAUUGUGAUAAAUAGGAAAUUUUAAUAGCAAACAUAUAUUAAAAUGAACAUAUAAAAAUAAAAAUUACAAUGCAAUUUUGGAUUUUUAAUAUGACUCUAGAAAUAUCUAUUUUUUUCUUUUAAAUCAAUAUCUGAAUUUGUGAAUUUACUAACUUAUGAUUUUAAUGGUCUGCCCAGUUGUUUCUUAUUUAAAUAUUAAUCAGAAAUUUUAAUAGUAAAUUAAUAGGUAAAAUUAAAUAUAAACUUAAAAAAACCUAACACCUAAAUAUAAUAUCUCCAUAAUCCCAUGCUCCUAUUCUUUAUGUGCUUCAUAGUAAUAUACACAAUUUGGUUAAUAGAAACUAAGAUUAUCGACUACAUCAUAUCUAUAAAUUGAUAAAUAUGAUAAUCGAUUAUAUGACUAAACUUUGCUAGGAUUUACAUAAGAACCUAUAAGAACAAUGUUCAUCUCACAUAUAAAUAUUUUUCAUUUGCUUUAGUGUCAGAUGUUCUUAUUUCCGAUGUACCAAAAGAAAACUCAUGCUCUUAUCUCUCUCCUUGAGACAUAUAAGUUGUUGUUGUUUUGUUUAAGUUGGGUUUAAAUGUUUUUUAAUAAACUAUUAACAAGAUAAUGAUAUUAGUUUAUAAAGAUUUGCUUAGGAAAAAUGAUGGACUGCAUCAUGUAUAUAAAUAUAAUGAUAAAUUACAUGACUAAAUUUAGUUUGGAUCUCCAUGAAGGCUUGAGAAUCCAAGACUCUCCUCCCAUUAGAGUGAUGUCCAUCUUGUAGAUGAACCUUUCUCUUUGCUUUAGUUUUUAUUUCUUAUGAACAAAAAAAAUCCCAUGCUCCUCUCUCUCUAGUGGAAUCAUAUUUGGUAAAGUAAACAUAUUUAUUUAGAUAACAAUAUUAGUUUAUAAAAAGAUUAAGAAAUAAAGUUUUAUAAAUUAAAAGUAUUGAGUUGAUUUUUUCUAUUCAAUUUAUAAUCUCAAGUUAAAGUCAUAAAUAAAUAUAAUCACAAAUAAAUACAACCACACUAUAAAAUAUAAUAUUUAUGCAGUGUUAACCACUGUAAAUAUUUAUAUACAUUAAAUAUAUCUCCAUAAUUCAUUUGUAUUAUUUUUUAUAAAAAAAUCAAUGAUGGUCAAAUAUGAAUGAUUGUAAAUGAUACAUUAACAGUCCAUAAAACUCAUAUAUUGUCAAUGCAUAUAUUUCCUCUGUAUAAAAACAAGGAAUGAAUUCAGUUACUCCAUAAUUAAGUUAAGAAAACCUACUUUAUAUACUAGUCAUUUAUUCUAUGAAAAUCUAAUGGUUCAAAUCUACUCACUGAUUCGAAUGACUUGAACCAUUAGAAUUUUUUAGAAUGGAUUAUUAAAAUAUGGAAUAAUUUUUUUUAACUUAUUUCUAGAAUAAAUGUAUGUCUUCCAAAAACAAAAUUGAACGGACCAAGUAAUAUAAGCCCAUGAAAGUGCAUAUCGUUCUUCACUUGAAAUGUGACCCUAGUCAUCAAACGGCUUAUAUUGACUGAAUGAAUGAAUGCAAGCCCUAUGGUUUGAAUUGAUUUAAUAGCAAGUAAUGGUGGCCCAUAUUUGAAGGAGGUGUAAACAAAGCACCGUUUUUCUCUCUCACACAAGAAACAAAGGAACUCUCACGAACCAAACCAAACCAAACCUACUCCUCCU
RNAcentral lists this long non-coding RNA (41518 nucleotides) under Lupinus angustifolius (narrow-leaved blue lupine). RNAcentral describes it as "long non-coding RNA (LANG_LNC002867)". The record is from RNAcentral. Lineage: Eukaryota; Viridiplantae; Streptophyta; Magnoliopsida; Fabales; Fabaceae.